This 1074-nucleotide ribosomal RNA is filed under the name Aspergillus flavus. RNAcentral's name for it is "SSU rRNA". It matches the Rfam family "Eukaryotic small subunit ribosomal RNA", at positions 57 to 1141 of the family's 1831-position model. Lineage: Eukaryota; Fungi; Ascomycota; Eurotiomycetes; Eurotiales; Aspergillaceae. The record is from RNAcentral.
GUCUAGUAUAAGCACUUUAUACUGUGAAACUGCGAAUGGCUCAUUAAAUCAGUUAUCGUUUAUUUGAUAGUACCUUACUACAUGGAUACCUGUGGUAAUUCUAGAGCUAAUACAUGCUAAAAACCUCGACUUCGGAAGGGGUGUAUUUAUUAGAUAAAAAACCAAUGCCCUUCGGGGCUCCUUGGUGAUUCAUAAUAACUUAACGAAUCGCAUGGCCUUGCGCCGGCGAUGGUUCAUUCAAAUUUCUGCCCUAUCAACUUUCGAUGGUAGGAUAGUGGCCUACCAUGGUGGCAACGGGUAACGGGGAAUUAGGGUUCGAUUCCGGAGAGGGAGCCUGAGAAACGGCUACCACAUCCAAGGAAGGCAGCAGGCGCGCAAAUUACCCAAUCCCGACACGGGGAGGUAGUGACAAUAAAUACUGAUACGGGGCUCUUUUGGGUCUCGUAAUUGGAAUGAGUACAAUCUAAAUCCCUUAACGAGGAACAAUUGGAGGGCAAGUCUGGUGCCAGCAGCCGCGGUAAUUCCAGCUCCAAUAGCGUAUAUUAAAGUUGUUGCAGUUAAAAAGCUCGUAGUUGAACCUUGGGUCUGGCUGGCCGGUCCGCCUCACCGCGAGUACUGGUCCGGCUGGACCUUUCCUUCUGGGGAACCUCAUGGCCUUCACUGGCUGUGGGGGGAACCAGGACUUUUACUGUGAAAAAAUUAGAGUGUUCAAAGCAGGCCUUUGCUCGAAUACAUUAGCAUGGAAUAAUAGAAUAGGACGUGCGGUUCUAUUUUGUUGGUUUCUAGGACCGCCGUAAUGAUUAAUAGGGAUAGUCGGGGGCGUCAGUAUUCAGCUGUCAGAGGUGAAAUUCUUGGAUUUGCUGAAGACUAACUACUGCGAAAGCAUUCGCCAAGGAUGUUUUCAUUAAUCAGGGAACGAAAGUUAGGGGAUCGAAGACGAUCAGAUACCGUCGUAGUCUUAACCAUAAACUAUGCCGACUAGGGAUCGGGCGGUGUUUCUAUGAUGACCCGCUCGGCACCUUACGAGAAAUCAAAGUUUUUGGGUUCUGGGGGGAGUAUGGUCGCAAGGCUGAA